AGCACUUCUGUUUGUUUUUAAUUUAUAGACAAAGACUUACAGAUAGGUGCAAAAAGAAAUCCUCUUUUGCAACCCAUAACUCUUUGCUCAGUGUGAGUUUUGAUGCAGAUAAGAAGGAACAUG
This is a small nucleolar RNA of Capra hircus (goat), 123 nucleotides long. The record is from Ensembl. Lineage: Eukaryota; Metazoa; Chordata; Mammalia; Artiodactyla; Bovidae.